RNAcentral lists this ribosomal RNA (468 nucleotides) under uncultured bacterium. RNAcentral's name for it is "partial 16S ribosomal RNA". It matches the Rfam family "Bacterial small subunit ribosomal RNA", at positions 28 to 507 of the family's 1533-position model. The record is from RNAcentral.
GACGAACGCUGGCGGCGUGCUUAACACAUGCAAGUCGAACGGAAAGGCCCUGCUUUUGUGGGGUGCUCGAGUGGCGAACGGGUGAGUAACACGUGAGUAACCUGCCCUUGACUUUGGGACAACUUCAGGAAACUGGGGCUAAUACCGGAUAGGAGCUCCUGCUGCAUGGUGGGGGUUGGAAAGUUUCGGCGGUUGGGGAUGGACUCGCGGCUUAUCAGCUUGUUGGUGGGGUAGUGGCUUACCAAGGCUUUGACGGGUAGCCGGCCUGAGAGGGUGACCGGCCACAUUGGGACUGAGAUACGGCCCAGACUCCUACGGGAGGCAGCAGUGGGGAAUAUUGCACAAUGGGCGGAAGCCUGAUGCAGCAACGCCGCGUGCGGGAUGACGGCCUUCGGGUUGUAAACCGCUUUCGCCUGUGACGAAGCGUGAGUGACGGUAAUGGGUAAAGAAGCACCGGCUAACUACGCG